GGUUAAGCGACUAAGCGUACACGGUGGAUGCCCUGGCAGUCAGAGGCGAUGAAGGACGUGCUAAUCUGCGAUAAGCGUCGGUAAGGUGAUAUGAACCGUUAUAACCGGCGAUUUCCGAAUGGGGAAACCCAGUGUGUUUCGACACACUAUCAUUAACUGAAUCCAUAGGUUAAUGAGGCGAACCGGGGGAACUGAAACAUCUAAGUACCCCGAGGAAAAGAAAUCAACCGAGAUUCCCCCAGUAGCGGCGAGCGAACGGGGAGCAGCCCAGAGCCUGAAUCAGUGUGUGUGUUAGUGGAAGCGUCUGGAAAGGCGCGCGAUACAGGGUGACAGCCCCGUACACAAAAAUGCACAUGCUGUGAGCUCGAUGAGUAGGGCGGGACACGUGGUAUCCUGUCUGAAUAUGGGGGGACCAUCCUCCAAGGCUAAAUACUCCUGACUGACCGAUAGUGAACCAGUACCGUGAGGGAAAGGCGAAAAGAACCCCGGCGAGGGGAGUGAAAAAGAACCUGAAACCGUGUACGUACAAGCAGUGGGAGCACGCUUAGGCGUGUGACUGCGUACCUUUUGUAUAAUGGGUCAGCGACUUAUAUUCUGUAGCAAGGUUAACCGAAUAGGGGAGCCGAAGGGAAACCGAGUCUUAACUGGGCGUUAAGUUGCAGGGUAUAGACCCGAAACCCGGUGAUCUAGCCAUGGGCAGGUUGAAGGUUGGGUAACACUAACUGGAGGACCGAACCGACUAAUGUUGAAAAAUUAGCGGAUGACUUGUGGCUGGGGGUGAAAGGCCAAUCAAACCGGGAGAUAGCUGGUUCUCCCCGAAAGCUAUUUAGGUAGCGCCUCGUGAAUUCAUCUCCGGGGGUAGAGCACUGUUUCGGCAAGGGGGUCAUCCCGACUUACCAACCCGAUGCAAACUGCGAAUACCGGAGAAUGUUAUCACGGGAGACACACGGCGGGUGCUAACGUCCGUCGUGAAGAGGGAAACAACCCAGACCGCCAGCUAAGGUCCCAAAGUCAUGGUUAAGUGGGAAACGAUGUGGGAAGGCCCAGACAGCCAGGAUGUUGGCUUAGAAGCAGCCAUCAUUUAAAGAAAGCGUAAUAGCUCACUGGUCGAGUCGGCCUGCGCGGAAGAUGUAACGGGGCUAAACCAUGCACCGAAGCUGCGGCAGCGACGCUUAUGCGUUGUUGGGUAGGGGAGCGUUCUGUAAGCCUGCGAAGGUGUGCUGUGAGGCAUGCUGGAGGUAUCAGAAGUGCGAAUGCUGACAUAAGUAACGAUAAAGCGGGUGAAAAGCCCGCUCGCCGGAAGACCAAGGGUUCCUGUCCAACGUUAAUCGGGGCAGGGUGAGUCGACCCCUAAGGCGAGGCCGAAAGGCGUAGUCGAUGGGAAACAGGUUAAUAUUCCUGUACUUGGUGUUACUGCGAAGGGGGGACGGAGAAGGCUAUGUUGGCCGGGCGACGGUUGUCCCGGUUUAAGCGUGUAGGCUGGUUUUCCAGGCAAAUCCGGAAAAUCAAGGCUGAGGCGUGAUGACGAGGCACUACGGUGCUGAAGCAACAAAUGCCCUGCUUCCAGGAAAAGCCUCUAAGCAUCAGGUAACAUCAAAUCGUACCCCAAACCGACACAGGUGGUCAGGUAGAGAAUACCAAGGCGCUUGAGAGAACUCGGGUGAAGGAACUAGGCAAAAUGGUGCCGUAACUUCGGGAGAAGGCACGCUGAUAUGUAGGUGAGGUCCCUCGCGGAUGGAGCUGAAAUCAGUCGAAGAUACCAGCUGGCUGCAACUGUUUAUUAAAAACACAGCACUGUGCAAACACGAAAGUGGACGUAUACGGUGUGACGCCUGCCCGGUGCCGGAAGGUUAAUUGAUGGGUUAGCGCAAGCGAAGCUCUUGAUCGAAGCCCCGGUAAACGGCGGCCGUAACUAUAACGGUCCUAAGGUAGCGAAAUUCCUUGUCGGGUAAGUUCCGACCUGCACGAAUGGCGUAAUGAUGGCCAGGCUGUCUCCACCCGAGACUCAGUGAAAUUGAACUCGCUGUGAAGAUGCAGUGUACCCGCGGCAAGACGGAAAGACCCCGUGAACCUUUACUAUAGCUUGACACUGAACAUUGAGCCUUGAUGUGUAGGAUAGGUGGGAGGCUUUGAAGUGUGGACGCCAGUCUGCAUGGAGCCGACCUUGAAAUACCACCCUUUAAUGUUUGAUGUUCUAACGUUGACCCGUAAUCCGGGUUGCGGACAGUGUCUGGUGGGUAGUUUGACUGGGGCGGUCUCCUCCUAAAGAGUAACGGAGGAGCACGAAGGUUGGCUAAUCCUGGUCGGACAUCAGGAGGUUAGUGCAAUGGCAUAAGCCAGCUUGACUGCGAGCGUGACGGCGCGAGCAGGUGCGAAAGCAGGUCAUAGUGAUCCGGUGGUUCUGAAUGGAAGGGCCAUCGCUCAACGGAUAAAAGGUACUCCGGGGAUAACAGGCUGAUACCGCCCAAGAGUUCAUAUCGACGGCGGUGUUUGGCACCUCGAUGUCGGCUCAUCACAUCCUGGGGCUGAAGUAGGUCCCAAGGGUAUGGCUGUUCGCCAUUUAAAGUGGUACGCGAGCUGGGUUUAGAACGUCGUGAGACAGUUCGGUCCCUAUCUGCCGUGGGCGCUGGAGAACUGAGGGGGGCUGCUCCUAGUACGAGAGGACCGGAGUGGACGCAUCACUGGUGUUCGGGUUGUCAUGCCAAUGGCACUGCCCGGUAGCUAAAUGCGGAAGAGAUAAGUGCUGAAAGCAUCUAAGCACGAAACUUGCCCCGAGAUGAGUUCUCCCUGACUCCUUGAGAGUCCUGAAGGAACGUUGAAGACGACGACGUUGAUAGGCCGGGUGUGUAAGCGCAGCGAUGCGUUGAGCUAACCGGUACUAAUGAACCGUGAGGCUUAACCUU
Molecule: ribosomal RNA, 2903 nt
Filed under: Escherichia coli
Lineage: Bacteria; Pseudomonadati; Pseudomonadota; Gammaproteobacteria; Enterobacterales; Enterobacteriaceae
Description: 23S ribosomal RNA
Rfam family: Bacterial large subunit ribosomal RNA
Source: RNAcentral